Molecule: transfer-messenger RNA, 412 nt
Filed under: candidate division WOR-1 bacterium RIFOXYB2_FULL_48_7
Lineage: Bacteria; Bacillati
Also listed under: 1 other name
Rfam family: transfer-messenger RNA
About the family: Bacterial tmRNA, also known as 10Sa RNA or SsrA, is named for its dual tRNA and mRNA-like properties. Its role is to liberate the mRNA from a stalled ribosome.
Source: RNAcentral
GGGGCAGUAAGGGUUUUGACGGGAAGCUGUGGUUGCGCAUGUUGCGAGCCGAGGAUGCUAUUUGCCUCGUUAAUCACGAUAGCCAACGUCACAAAUGCAGACGUUACUAAAGCAUUGGAAGGCGUUCAGUGGAGCUUUGUGAAUAGCAGAGUUCUUUCUGGCGCUUUCGCCCGCGCUUAAUAACUUAAGUGCGCCGUCCGCCGGGUUGGCCGAUUAGCCCGGAUCCGGACGUUAUUUUGCGGCUACCUGCCUGGUUGCUCCGGUCGGCCGGGCGGGGAAACAAACUCCGGAUAGUCUGGGAAACACCUCGUUUCGGGUCAAAUUCCAGGCGAACUGAUAAACGAAGCUACGCUCGUAGCGGCAGGCGCAUCUGCCUUUCCGGACAGGGGUUCGACUCCCCUCUGCUCCAGAA